CCCCACUGCUAUCGGGAUGGGACUAAGACAUGCUAGUCGAGCGUCUCCAAGCUAUGGAAGAGACGCGGCACACAGCUCAGUAACACGUGGCUAACCUGCCCUUGGGACAAGGACAACUCCGGGAAACUGGGGCUAAUCCCUGAUAGGUGAGAACUCCUGGAAUGGAUUCUCGCUGAAAGGACGUUUAGACCAUGCUUCUAGGCGUCGCCCAAGGAGGGGGCCGCGACCGAUCAGGUUGUUGGUGAGGUAACGGCUCACCAAGCCUUUAACCGGUACGGGCCGUGAGAGCGGAAGCCCGGAGAUGGGCACUGAGACAAGGGCCCAGGCCCUACGGGGCGCAGCAGUCGCGAAAACUCCGCAAUACACGAAAGUGUGACGGGGCUAUCCCGAGUGCCAUCCGCUGAGGAUGGCUUUUCCCCAGUGUAUAAAGCUGGGGGAAUAAGGAGAGGGCAAGCCUGGUGUCAGCCGCCGCGGUAAUACCAGCUCUCCGAGUGGUGGGGAUGUUUAUUGGGCCUAAAGCAUUCGUAGCCUGCUUGGCAAGUCCCCCGUUAAAUCCAGCGAUUCAAUCGUUGGACUGCGGGGGAUACUGUCCGGCUUGGGGGCGGAAGAGGCCGACGGUAUUCUCGGGGUAGGGGUGAAAUCCUAUAAUCCCGGGAGGACCACCAGUGGCGAAGGCUGUCGGCUAGAACGCGCCCGACGGUGAGGGAUGAAAGCUGGGGGAGCGAACCGGAUUAGAUACCCGGGUAGUCCCAGCUGUAAACGAUGCAGGCUAGGUGUUGGCGCGGCUACGUGCCGCUCCAGUGCCGCAAGGAAGCCGUUAAGCCUGCCGCCUGGGAAGUACGGCCGCAAGGCUGAAACUUAAAGGAAUUGGCGGGGGAGCACCACAAGGGGUGAAGCUUGCGGUUU
This 906-nucleotide ribosomal RNA is filed under the name uncultured archaeon. RNAcentral's name for it is "bacterial SSU rRNA". It matches the Rfam family "Archaeal small subunit ribosomal RNA", at positions 21 to 903 of the family's 1478-position model. The record is from RNAcentral.